UCCUACGGGAGGCAGCAGUGAGGAAUCUUGCGCAAUGGGCGAAAGCCUGACGCACCCACGCCGCGUGCCGGAUGAAGGCCCUAUGGGUUGUAAACGGCUUUUAAGCAGGAAGAACGACCGGUAUUUCGAUCUGGUGUGACGGUACUGCUUGAAUAAGCACCGGCUAACUCCGUGCCAGCAGCCGCGGUAAUACGGAGGGUGCAAGCGUUGUCCGGAAUCAUUGGGUGUAAAGGGUGCGUAGGCGGGCGUCUAAGUCUGGGGUGAAAUCUUGCCGCUUAACGGUAAAAUGGCCUUGGAUACUGGGCGUCUUGAGUGUAGAAGAGGUAAGUGGAAUUCGUAGUGUAGCGGUGAAAUGCAUAGAUAUUACGAAGAACAUCAGUGGCGAAGGCGGCUUACUGGUCUACAACUGACGCUGAGGCACGAAAGCGUGGGGAGCGAACAGGAUUAGAUACCCUGGUAGUCCACGCUGUAAACGAUGCAUACUAGGUGUUGGCCUUUCGGGGCCAGUGCUGCAGUUAACGCAUUAAGUAUGCCACCUGGGGAGUACGUCGGCAACGAUGAAACUCAAAUGAAUUGACGG
RNAcentral lists this ribosomal RNA (580 nucleotides) under uncultured bacterium. Its description in RNAcentral is "bacterial SSU rRNA". It matches the Rfam family "Bacterial small subunit ribosomal RNA", at positions 337 to 916 of the family's 1533-position model. The record is from RNAcentral.